AAAAGGAUUGUUACCAUUUUAAAAGGCUAAAUAAAAACAAUAAAGAAAACGAAAGUGGAAAACAGGCUCAAGUGGCCACAGUUGAAAAAGGUUUCGCAUUUAUGUUGAAUCGUGCUAUAAUUAAAAACAAAAGUGAUGUUUCAUUUAUUUUGGACUCGGGCGCGUCAGACCAUAUGAUAAAUGAUAAAGAACUGUUUGCUGACUACAUAAGUUUAAAAACACCAAUUGAAAUAUCAGUGGCAAAGUGUGGUGAAUUUAUUUAUGCUACGGCAAAAGGCAUAAUGAAACUUAAAAAUGAGUUCCAGAAAAACAUUACUUUGGAAGACGUACUUUAUUGCAAAGAUAUUCCACAUAAUUUAAUCUCUGUUAAAAGAAUGCAAGAGGCUGGAAUGGUUAUUGAAUUCAACGCAGGAGGUGUCACGGUUACAAAGAACGGUAACAUAAUUAUUAAAAACUCCUCCAGAUUCCUCAAGCUAAGAAGCAGAAUGGGUCUUACUGAUGACGAUGAACAACAAACCUAAACCAAAAAGGAUGAACACUCCUAUCUACUAUGAAAUAUCUUCUUAUUUUGCGUUUUUUUUUAUUAAAUUUUUGAACUUAAAUUUAUUUUAAUUUAUCUACAUAUAUAUUUGCUUGGUUUGAUUGGGUUUUUCUGGGUUUUCCCCAAUCCAUGCAACAAAUGUUGAACCAAGAUAUUGUAUGCACCCCAGAAGGCACAGCAUGUCUUAUAAGUUUUUUUUUUGUACUGAAUUGUUUUUUUUUAGUUUAUUUAAUGUUGUUUUUGAGGAGGUGUAUUAAAUGCAACCAACAUAAGUCUGCAACAUUGUUUGGCUGCAAGACAAAAGCAACAUCAAAUACUUAGAAUUAAAUGUUGCGGAGAUCCUCGGAUACCUAGAAUUAAAUGUUGCGGAGAUCCUCAAAUACCUAGAAUUAAGUGUUGCGAAGAUCAACUAUAAAAGGGACACAUUGAAAUGUAUUUAGUUCAGUUCGCGUAAAACAACCUUUGUGAAUAGUAGAUGUGCUGUGCCAAAUGAAAGAAAAGACUCAUUAAAUAUAAUUAUAAACUAUAA
Long non-coding RNA from Drosophila kikkawai, 1070 nucleotides. RefSeq lists it as uncharacterized. The record is from RefSeq and is a predicted model, not a curated record. NCBI's taxonomy places the organism in Eukaryota, Metazoa, Arthropoda, Insecta, Diptera, Drosophilidae.